RNAcentral lists this long non-coding RNA (2545 nucleotides) under Sorghum bicolor (sorghum). RNAcentral's name for it is "long non-coding RNA (SBIC_LNC002490)". Lineage: Eukaryota; Viridiplantae; Streptophyta; Magnoliopsida; Poales; Poaceae. The record is from RNAcentral.
UUUGGUUCUGGCAUUCACAUAAAUAAAGAGACAAACAUGUAUGAUUUAUAACUCUAAAUUAACCAACCCAACUAAUUCAGCAUGUUUAGUCCUUUAAUUUUUGUUCCUAGUACUACCUCCAUGAUCCCACACUCCUAAUCAUAUGAGCUAAAAUGUUGCACAUUCAAUCUUUGGGAAGAUAUAAAGAAAAAGACAUAGAUAGAUUAUCUUUCCAUAAGGUUAAGCGAUCUGAUCUGAUAAAUGUUUUAAAUGCUACACUCAUGAACUUAUCACCCAUCAACUUUGUCUUGCUCCCUAUGCUUAAGGAUAGAGAAGAAUAAAUAUACUUUUGGUUUUGUUGGUGUUUUCCACCAACAGGACCCAUGCACUUGAUCUCUGCCUUGUCUCUAUGGGCAGGACACAUUUUGAGAAACAUGGAGGAUUUUUCAACUCUCAGACUCUACCAAGUGAAGGACUAGGAUCUACGAGCACAAACACACUGAACAAGAUACUGCCAACGCCGCACUUCGAACUGCUGGGCAAACGAAGAACAUGGGUGACACUGUAUCAAGAGGUACAGACGUCAAGGUCCACACCUGAUUCAAAUGAUGCACCUGAAGAAUGAACACGGUGAGAAGUCUUGUUCAGAAGACUUAAAACAUUGAACCCUUGCCGAAAGGUAAAAUCGGUAGUUAUCCAUAUUUAUCCUUUGUGCAUUCCCUUUUCCCUUUAAUUAUUUACUUUUCUUAAAUAGCUUGUUAGUUAAUCAUGCUAUCUCGAAAAGAAAUUAAAAAUGUUAAAAACAGUAAGCCCCAUGUGAGUAUGCUCGUGGCAUAAAACCCAUAAGUACAUUCACUGUGGUGGCAUAAAAAUAAAAAUAUUCCUGUCCUAUAAAAAUGAAAAUAUAAAAAUAAGAUUGUGAUCCUACUAAAGAGAGUAAUAUAAAACCCAUAAGUACAUUCACUGUGGUGGCGUAAAAAUAAAAAUAUUCCUGUCCUAUAAAAAUGAAAAUAUAAAAAUAAGAUUGUGAUCCUACUAAAGAGAGUAAUAUUUAUUGAGGAGGCUCAACAUGAUAAAGGCAAAGAGAUUUUUAUGCUAACACUUAACUAGUUCCACAAAGCUUUGUUGUCUAUUUGAGCUCCACAGAAUUCAAGGAUCAAAGAAGACUAGCAGACGGAGGACAUCCUAAUCACUGUCAGGGUGCUGCCGACAUUCAAAUACACCUCCGCCACUUGCUAGCUACAUCAGAAGAAAUUACAUCAAAAUCCAGCUUGGGGGAGAGCACCCCCAUUUAUCCAACUAAGUGUUUAUAUUCGCGUUUAUCCUUUACUCAAAUAAUAAAAAGAUGCAUAAUCAUAAAAACCCAAAUAAAGAUUUUGUGCUUAUAUAUAUAUAUAUAUCUUUGCUUAGUUUGCUAAAUAAAUAAAGUUUGCUAUGAACCCUCAUGAUAAGCUCUCACAUGGAAAUGAUGAAUAGUUGCUCUGCCAUGACAAGUUCUCAAAAUUGAAAUCUCUCUCAAGUUUAGGCAUGACUGUUAUGAAUUAAGAUUUGCUCUAAACCUGAACUUGUGGGAAGAGUACUUGAUCUAAAGUCUAAGUCGUUAACGGAUACGAUAUGGGAAGGUUGAGCUGAUGUUUAUCUAUUCCUAGAGAUGCUAGAAUUCUAGAGAAUUUUAUCUUUGAACAUCUUUAAAAUGUUGCAUGAUGAGUUCUUGUAUGAUGAGAGUUUUAAAUCCUACCACAGCCAUAUAUACAUGCUUAUUAGACUAUGAACCAUACAUUUACUUUUUACUGCUUAUGAGGAUUGAGUGUGGUCAAGCUGUGUAGACCCUUAGGAGCUUGUCAUGCGGUUAAAAUCAAGAUUCACUUGCACGUUCACUCAUACAUCCUGCUUCUACUCCGGAAGUACGCAUCCACAUACAUCCACUCAUUUCCAUCUCUAGAUUCACCCAAAAUUAUUCUACUCCUGUCCAGGAGAGAAUAGCCAAAAACAUUCUCCUAUUUCUGUUUUCCCUGUGAAAUAAAUGCUCCAGUUAUCUUGGUUACUACCACUUGCUAUAUUAUUUCAGGAGAUGAGUGCUCUAAAAAAAAGAGAAAGGAUACGAGGAAAUAAAAAAUGGGCAAGUGCCCGGAACCACGAAGAAAAGAAAAAGUGAGACGAGAGGUAAAAAUGGACAAGUGUCCGACAGUAGAAUUAGGGGUACAAGAUACCCACCUGAGAGAAAAGAAAAAGAAAAUAUAGAGCAUCUCAUUCUCCUCAAAAGUUUCAAAAGUGUAAAAAAGGUAUGUAUCCCCUCAAAAGAGCAAAAGUAGAAUUAGACUUUCACCAUUGUUUUCACCAUUAUCACCAUCAUCACCAUACACCAUUCAUUCGCCACACAUGCACAUCUUGAUUUAACUUAUUGACUUGUUUCUCUGGAUCCAUGGUUUGACUAUGCAAUAAAUGUCUUGUAAGUAUGUAUUAGCUGUCUCCCACCUAUGAGCUCCAGAUAUCAAAGCCUCAUUAGAGUAGGAUGAGAGAGAAGGCAAUGUCACUAUGCCUCAUACCACAAAUACUACAUACUUUG